UACGUAGGGGGCAAGCGUUGUCCGGAAUCAUUGGGCGUAAAGAGCGUGUAGGCGGCUCGGUAAGUCUGCUGUGAAAGUCCAGGGCUCAACCCUGGGAUGCCGGUGGAUACUGUCGAGCUCGAGUCCGGAAGAGGCGAGUGGAAUUCCUGGUGUAGCGGUGAAAUGCGCAGAUAUCAGGAGGAACACCGAUGGCGAAGGCAGCUCGCUGGGACGUGACUGACGCUGAGACGCGAAAGCAUGGGGAGCGAACAGG
RNAcentral lists this ribosomal RNA (253 nucleotides) under uncultured bacterium. Its description in RNAcentral is "partial 16S ribosomal RNA". It matches the Rfam family "Bacterial small subunit ribosomal RNA", at positions 524 to 776 of the family's 1533-position model. The record is from RNAcentral.